Molecule: long non-coding RNA, 1119 nt
Filed under: Lathyrus oleraceus (garden pea)
Lineage: Eukaryota; Viridiplantae; Streptophyta; Magnoliopsida; Fabales; Fabaceae
Description: Pisum sativum (pea) long non-coding RNA (PSAT_LNC041232)
Source: RNAcentral
UUUUGUAUAUUGUUAUCAAGAAAUGAGAAGAUUGACAGUGUUAUUAGUGUUCUUGUUUUGCUAAAUUUUGUAUUUUGUUAUCAAGAAAUGAGAAGAUUGAUAGUGUUAUUAGUGUUUUUGUUUUGAAAAUUUUUGUAUAUUGUUAUCAAGAAAUGAGAAGAUUGAUAGUGUUAUUAGUGUUCUUGUUUUGCUAAAUUUGAAUAUUGUUAUCAAGAAACGAGAAGAUUGAUAGUGUUAUUAGUGUUUUUGUUUUGCUAAAUUUUGUAUAUUGUUAUCAAGAAAAGAGAAGAUUGAUAGUGUUAUUAGUGUUCUUGUUUUGCUAAAUUUUGUAUAUUGUUAUCAAGAAAUGAGAAGAUUGAUAUCGUUAUUAGUAUUCUUGUUUUGCUAAAUAUUGUAUAUUGUUAUCAAGAAAUGAGAAGAUUGAUAGUGUUAUUAGUGUUCUUGUUUUGCUAAAUUUGGUAUAUUGUUAUCAAGAAAUGAGAAGAUUGAUAGUGUUAUUAGUGUUCUUGUUUUUCUAAAUUGCUAAAUUUUGUAUUUUGUUAUCAAGAAAUGAGAAGAUUGAUAGUGUUAUUAGUGUUUUUGUUUUGAAAAAUUUUGUAUAUUGUUAUCAAGAAAUGAGAAGAUUGAUAGUGUUAUUAGUGUUCUUUUUUUUGCUAAAUUUUGUAUAUUAUUAUCAAGAAACGAGAAGAUUGAUAGUGUUAUUAGUGUUUUUGUUUUGCUAAAUUUUGUAUAUUGUUAUCAAGAAAUGAGAAGAUUGAUAUUGUUAUUAGUAUUCUUGUUUUGCUAAAUUUUGUAUAUUGUUAUCAAGAAAUGAGAAGAUUGACAGUAUUAUUAGUGUUCUUGUUUUGCUAAAUUUUGUAUUUUGUUAUCAAGAAAUGAGAAGAUUGAUAGUGUUAUUAGGGUUUUUGUUUUGAUAAAUUUUGUAUAUUGUUAUCAAGAAAUGUGAAGAUUGAUAGUGUUAUUAGUGUUCUUUUGAAUUUAUGAUGGCUUCAAAGGCCACACCACUGCUUCCUAUAUUCGUACGCACAUCUUUAGGACUCUAUUACGUGAGUUAUUUCUUUGCUUCUUUUUUCUUAGCAUACUAAUCUGUAUAUUGUUAUCAAGAAAUGAGAAGAUUGN